GCCUUCGUGAUGUAACAGUAGCACACUCGGCUGGUAUUCGAGAAGUCCAAGUUCGAGUCUCGGAGAAGGCA
This 71-nucleotide transfer RNA is filed under the name Stegodyphus mimosarum. It matches the Rfam family "tRNA". Rfam says of the family: Transfer RNA (tRNA) molecules are approximately 80 nucleotides in length. The record is from Rfam by way of RNAcentral. Lineage: Eukaryota; Metazoa; Arthropoda; Arachnida; Araneae; Eresidae.